GCAUUGCAAAGCAAUAGCAAACUUCCCAAUCCAUAGACACAAGAACACGAUCAAGCUGUGCCAUAACCGGAGUUUGUCGCUCAUUACUCCAUGUAUAUCUUCUGCCCUGGAGGUAGAUCUCUUUCAGGUUGACAUCAUCCACGAAGCGCCGGAAGCGACCGAUAUUGCGACGAUUAAUGUUGGAGGUGCUUUUCUCCGAUGCUCGCAAGAUGAGGUUGAAGUCCCCCACAACAAGCCACCU
RNAcentral lists this long non-coding RNA (241 nucleotides) under Setaria italica (foxtail millet). RNAcentral's name for it is "long non-coding RNA (SITA_LNC002605)". The record is from RNAcentral. Lineage: Eukaryota; Viridiplantae; Streptophyta; Magnoliopsida; Poales; Poaceae.